GACAUUUUAAAUGCAAAGAUGACAUUGUUUGCUAUGACAACUUGACAUAAGCAAAGACAUCACAACAAGAUCUUUGUCACGACAGCUUGACAUUACCAAGACAUCAAAACUUGUCAUAAAUGUGUCAUAAGGCAUUAUAAUUGUGUCAUGACUAUUUCUCUGAUCACGUUUUCACUGUAUUUGUCAUUAUAAUGCCUCAUUAAAAAGUGUCAUUACUAAGUCAAAUAAUAUGUAAGAGUGUCGUUAAUGACAUUUUAAUGACAAACUCAGCUUGUAGUUAUAAAAGGCAUGACAUAACUGUAAUGGCUUCAUGACAGUCAUGUUUAUGACAGGUUUAUGACAAGUUUCAUUGUCUUGGUAAUGUCAAAUUGUCAUGACAAAGACAGAAACUGGUUGUGAUGUAUUUGUUUAUGUCAAGUUGUCAUGAACAAUGUCAUCUUUGCAUUCAAAACAGAGCAAAUGACACUUAGCUGUUAUAAGCAUUCAUAAAAUCUCAUUCACAUUCAUGAUUUGUCCUGUCAUGACUAUAAAGGUCUAAUGACAGCCUUGUUAACGCCUCCUUUAAGUCGCUCCCUGAACGAAAGUGAAGGAGGUAUUUAUCAUGACUUUCAAUGAGAUUUUAAGUAUGCUUAUGACAACUCUUAUUAAGGGUCAUUUGCUCGGUUAUGACAUUUUAAAUGCAAAGAUGACAUUGUUUGCCAUGACAACUUGACUUAACAAGCAAAGACAUGACAACCAGAUCUUUGUUACGACAACUUGACAUUACCAAGACAUCAAAACUUGUCAUAAAUCUGUCAUAAGGCAUUAUAAUUGUGUCAUGACUAUUUUUC
RNAcentral lists this long non-coding RNA (830 nucleotides) under Danio rerio (zebrafish). RNAcentral describes it as "lncRNA si:ch211-173b16.4 (ENSDARG00000096889.2)". The record is from RNAcentral. Lineage: Eukaryota; Metazoa; Chordata; Actinopteri; Cypriniformes; Danionidae.